CAAUAUUUAUACACAAGAGCAUUGAAUAGACACUCCUCUGUGGCGAGAGUGCUAAGCGGCCCACUCGAUAUCAGGUCAUUCGGCACUCUACUUCCACCAGGACUCCUGGGUGAUAUUCAGAGAUUAAAAGGAAGGAUUGAACAAGUCAAUUUGACCGAACAAUCUGAUACUAUUGUAUGGAAAUGGUUCAGCAAUAAUGGUUUCACAACAAGAAAGAACUACCACUUUCUUC
Molecule: long non-coding RNA, 232 nt
Filed under: Elaeis guineensis (African oil palm)
Lineage: Eukaryota; Viridiplantae; Streptophyta; Magnoliopsida; Arecales; Arecaceae
Description: long non-coding RNA (EGUI_LNC048470)
Source: RNAcentral